Hydractinia symbiolongicarpus is the source of this 73-nucleotide non-coding RNA. Lineage: Eukaryota; Metazoa; Cnidaria; Hydrozoa; Anthoathecata; Hydractiniidae. The record is from the annotation of a RefSeq genome assembly.
GGAUCGAUAGCACAGUCGGUAAAGCAAUCGCCCGGCAAGCGAGAGAUCGUGGGUUCAUGUCCCACUCGAUCCA